This 506-nucleotide ribosomal RNA is filed under the name uncultured bacterium. RNAcentral's name for it is "partial 16S ribosomal RNA". It matches the Rfam family "Bacterial small subunit ribosomal RNA", at positions 29 to 523 of the family's 1533-position model. The record is from RNAcentral.
AUUGAACGCUGGCGGCAGGCCUAACACAUGCAAGUCGGACGGUAGCACAGAGGAGCUUGCUCCUCGGGUGACGAGUGGCGGACGGGUGAGUAAUGUCUGGGGAUCUGCCCGAUAGAGGGGGAUAACCACUGGAAACGGUAGCUAAUACCGCAUAACGUCGCAAGACCAAAGUGGGGGACCUUCGGGCCUCACACCAUCGGAUGUGCCCAGAUGGGAUUAGCUGGUAGGCGGGGUAACGGCCCACCUAGGCGACGAUCCCUAGCUGGUCUGAGAGGAUGACCAGCCACACUGGAACUGAGACACGGUCCAGACUCCUACGGGAGGCAGCAGUGGGGAAUAUUGCACAAUGGGCGCAAGCCUGAUGCAGCCAUGCCGCGUGUAUGAAGAAGGCCUUCGGGUUGUAAAGUACUUUCAGCGGGGAGGAAGGUGCUGAGGUUAAUAAGCUCAGCAAUUGACGUUACCCGCAGAAGAAGCACCGGCUAACUCCGUGCCAGCAGCCGCCGUAA